UUUUUUUUGAAAUAUUUUCAUAUGUCAAACAAUAAUUCAUCUAUUUACAAAACAAAAUUUUGUAUCUUUUUAAAUUUUAAGAUUUUAUUGAUAAUUGUUUUUUAGGUAAAUAAUAUGACAGAAAUUUUGAUGAUAAAGUGAUAAAAAUUCAAGAAUUUAAAUUAAAAUAAGAUUUAUCAAUUAACCAGGAAAUAACACCCAAUUAUAAGAUUUCAUUAUAUGUAUAUUGAUAUAAGGACACACAUGAAGUAAGAGAUA
RNAcentral lists this long non-coding RNA (258 nucleotides) under Lathyrus oleraceus (garden pea). Its description in RNAcentral is "Pisum sativum (pea) long non-coding RNA (PSAT_LNC032155)". Lineage: Eukaryota; Viridiplantae; Streptophyta; Magnoliopsida; Fabales; Fabaceae. The record is from RNAcentral.